Non-coding RNA from Chelonoidis abingdonii (Abingdon island giant tortoise), 195 nucleotides. The record is from RefSeq and is a predicted model, not a curated record. NCBI's taxonomy places the organism in Eukaryota, Metazoa, Chordata, Testudines, Testudinidae.
GUUGCUGGAGAUUUUUCCCUCAGUGGUAUCCAUUGGGCCAGCUCUAGCACCUUCCUUCUGGUCAUACGCCUCAGAGUAAAGGGCCCCACUAGCCCCACACCUCCUCAGCUCCUUCUUGCCAGUAACUCCGACAGAGGGGCAGGAGGGUGAGUUUGGAAUGGAUAUGAGCAACACAUCUCGAAGAACAACAGUUAC